RNAcentral lists this ribosomal RNA (200 nucleotides) under uncultured organism. Its description in RNAcentral is "partial small subunit ribosomal RNA". It matches the Rfam family "Bacterial small subunit ribosomal RNA", at positions 1182 to 1382 of the family's 1533-position model. The record is from RNAcentral.
ACGUCAAGUCCUCAUGGCCCUUACGGGCUGGGCUACACACGUGCUACAAUGGCGGUGAUAGUGAGAUGCAAGGGCGCAAGCCGGAGCGAAUCUCUAAAAGCCGCCCCAGUUCGGAUUGCACUCUGCAACUCGGGUGCAUGAAGUCGGAAUCGCUAGUAAUCGUGGAUCAGCAUGCCACGGUGAAUACGUUCCCGGGCCUU